UACAGAGGUCUCAAGCGUUGUUCGGAAUUACUGGGCGUAAAGGGCUCGUAGGCGGCCAACUAAGUCAGACGUGAAAUCCCUCGGCUUAACCGGGGAACUGCAUCUGAUACUGGAUGGCUUGAGUUCGGGAGAGGGAUGUGGAAUUCCAGGUGUAGCGGUGAAAUGCGUAGAUAUCUGGAGGAACACCGGUGGCGAAGGCGGCAUCCUGGACCGACAUUGACGCUGAGGCGCGAAAGCGUGGGGAUCAAACAGG
Molecule: ribosomal RNA, 253 nt
Filed under: uncultured bacterium
Lineage: Bacteria
Description: partial 16S ribosomal RNA
Rfam family: Bacterial small subunit ribosomal RNA
Source: RNAcentral